GACGAACGCUGGCGGCGUGCUUAACACAUGCAAGUCGAACGGGAUCCGGGCUUUCGGGUUUGGUGAGAGUGGCGAACGGGUGAGUAACACGUGAGUAACCUGCCCCCUUCUUUGGGAUAACGUCGGGAAAUCGGCGCUAAUACUGGAUAUUCUUGCUGCAUCGCAUGGUGUGGUUUGGAAAGGGUUUCUGGUGGGGGAUGGGCUCGCGGCCUAUCAGCUUGUUGGUGGGGUGAUGGCCUACCAAGGCUUUGACGGGUAGCCGGCCUGAGAGGGUGUCCGGCCAAACUGGGACUGAGACACGGCCCAGACUCCUACGGGAGGCAGCAGGGGGGAAUAUUGCACAAUGGGCGCAAGCCUGAUGCAGCGACGCCGCGUGAGGGAUGACGGCCUUCGGGUUGUAAACCUCUUUCAGUAUGGAACAAGGAUCCUUCUUUUGGGGGGUUUGAGGGUACGUGCAGAAGAAGCGCCGGCUAACUACGUG
Molecule: ribosomal RNA, 481 nt
Filed under: uncultured bacterium
Lineage: Bacteria
Description: partial 16S ribosomal RNA
Rfam family: Bacterial small subunit ribosomal RNA
Source: RNAcentral